RNAcentral lists this unclassified non-coding RNA (277 nucleotides) under plant metagenome. Its description in RNAcentral is "partial contains small subunit ribosomal RNA, internal transcribed spacer 1, and 5.8S ribosomal RNA". The stretch from base 228 to 277 matches the Rfam family "5.8S ribosomal RNA", at positions 1 to 49 of the family's 154-position model. The record is from RNAcentral.
UUUCCGUAGGUGAACCUGCGGAAGGAUCAUUAUCGAAAUACUUAUUUAGCGUUCCGUGCUAUCCCAUUGUUUUAUUUACCCUGUUGCUUCCACUGGAUGAGUUUCCAUACCUUGUGUUUGAGAAACUUUGGCUUGUGUAAGAUUCAUUCACGGCCAGCCAGUGAGAAGACCAUUUACAAAACCCUGUUAAGAACCAAUUGUCUGAAUAUUUUACUCCAAUGAAAUAAAACUUUCAACAACGGAUCUCUAGGCUCUUGCAUCGAUGAAGAACGGCAGC